RNAcentral lists this ribosomal RNA (292 nucleotides) under uncultured bacterium. RNAcentral's name for it is "partial 16S ribosomal RNA". It matches the Rfam family "Bacterial small subunit ribosomal RNA", at positions 505 to 796 of the family's 1533-position model. The record is from RNAcentral.
GUGCCAGCCGCCGCGGUAAUACAGAGGUGGCAAGCGUUGUUCGGAAUUACUGGGCGUAAAGGGCGCGUAGGCGGUUCGGUAAGUCCUGUGUGAAAUCCCUCGGCUCAACUGAGGAACUGCACGGGAGACUGCCGGGCUUGAGUUCGGGAGAGGGAAGCGGAAUUCCGGGUGUAGCGGUGAAAUGCGUAGAUAUCCGGAGGAACACCGGUGGCGAAGGCGGCUUCCUGGACCGACACUGACGCUGAGGCGCGAAAGCUAGGGGAGCAAACGGGAUUAGAUACCCCCGUAGUCC